AUUGAACGCUGGCGGCAUGCCUUACACAUGCAAGUCGAACGGUAACAGGUCUUCGGAUGCUGACGAGUGGCGAACGGGGGAGUAAUACAUCGGAACGUGCCCGAUCGUGGGGGAUAACGAGGCGAAAGCUUUGCUAAUACCGCAUACGAUCUACGGAUGAAAGCGGGGGAUCUUCGGACCUCGCGCGGACGGAGCGGCCGAUGGCAGAUUAGGUAGUUGGUGGGAUAAAAGCUUACCAAGCCGACGAUCUGUAGCUGGUCUGAGAGGAUGAUCAGCCACACUGGGACUGAGACACGGCCCAGACUCCUACGGGAGGCAGCAGUGGGGAAUUUUGGACAAUGGGCGAAAGCCUGAUCCAGCCAUGCCGCGUGCAGGAUGAAGGCCUUCGGGUUUUAAACUGCUUUUGUACGGAACGAAAAGCCUCUUUCUAAUAAAGAGGGGUCAUGACGGUACCGUAAGAAUAAGCACCGGCUAACUACGUG
RNAcentral lists this ribosomal RNA (482 nucleotides) under uncultured bacterium. RNAcentral describes it as "partial 16S ribosomal RNA". It matches the Rfam family "Bacterial small subunit ribosomal RNA", at positions 30 to 507 of the family's 1533-position model. The record is from RNAcentral.